Molecule: ribosomal RNA, 253 nt
Filed under: uncultured bacterium
Lineage: Bacteria
Description: partial 16S ribosomal RNA
Rfam family: Bacterial small subunit ribosomal RNA
Source: RNAcentral
UAAGAAGGGGGCUAGCGUUGCUCGGAAUUACUGGGCGUAAAGCGCACGUAGGCGGACUUUUAAGUCGGGGGUGAAAUCCUGGAGCUCAACUCCAGAACUGCCUUCGAAACUGAAAGCCUUGAGUUCGGGGGAGGUGAGUGGAACUGCGAGUGUAGAGGUGAAAUUCGUAGAUAUUCGCAAGAACACCAGUGGCGAAGGCGGCUCACUGGCCCGAUACUGACGCUGAGGUGCGAAAGCGUGGGGAGCAAACAGG